UUGAACGCUGGCGGCAUGCUUUACACAUGCAAGUCGAACGGUAACAGGUUAAGCUGACGAGUGGCGAACGGGUGAGUAAUGCAUCGGAACGUGCCCGAUCGUGGGGGAUAACGCAGCGAAAGCUGCGCUAAUACCGCAUACGAUCUACGGAUGAAAGCGGGGGACUCAGCAAUGGGCCUCGCGCGAAUGGAGCGGCCGAUAUCAGAUUAGCUAGUUGGUGGGGUAAAGGCUCACCAAGGCGACGAUCUGUAGCUGGUCUGAGAGGACGACCAGCCACACUGGAACUGAGACACGGUCCAGACUCCUACGGGAGGCAGCAGUGGGGAAUUUUGGACAAUGGGCGCAAGCCUGAUCCAGCAAUGCCGCGUGCAGGAUGAAGGCCUUCGGGUUGUAAACUGCUUUUGUACGGAACGAAAAGACUCCUUCUAAUAAAGGGGGUUCAUGACGGUACCGUAAGAAUAAGCACCGGCUAACUACGU
This 479-nucleotide ribosomal RNA is filed under the name uncultured bacterium. Its description in RNAcentral is "bacterial SSU rRNA". It matches the Rfam family "Bacterial small subunit ribosomal RNA", at positions 30 to 506 of the family's 1533-position model. The record is from RNAcentral.